UGUUUCGGCUAGGGGGCCAUCCCGGCUUACCAACCCGAUGCAAACUGCGAAUACCGGAGAAUGUUAUCACGGGAGACACACGGCGGGUGCUAACGUCCGUCGUGAAGAGGGAAACAACCCAGACCGCCAGCUAAGGUCCCAAAGUCAUGGUUAAGUGGGAAACGAUGUGGGAAGGCCCAGACAGCCAGGAUGUUGGCUUAGAAGCAGCCAUCAUUUAAAGAAAGCGUAAUAGCUCACUGGUCGAGUCGGCCUGCGCGGAAGAUGUAACGGGGCUAAACCAUGCACCGAAGCUGCGGCAGCGACACUGUGUGUUGUUGGGUAGGGGAGCGUUCUGUAAGCCUGCGAAGGUGGCCUGUGAGGGUUGCUGGAGGUAUCAGAAGUGCGAAUGCUGACAUAAGUAACGAUAAAGCGGGUGAAAAGCCCGCUCGCCGGAAGACCAAGGGUUCCUGUCCAACGUUAAUCGGGGCAGGGUGAGUCGACCCCUAAGGCGAGGCCGAAAGGCGUAGUCGAUGGGAAACGGGUUAAUAUUCCCGUACUUGGUGUUACUGCGAAGGGGGGACGGAGAAGGCUAUGUUGGCCGGGCGACGGUU
RNAcentral lists this ribosomal RNA (590 nucleotides) under Salmonella enterica. RNAcentral's name for it is "partial 23S ribosomal RNA". It matches the Rfam family "Bacterial large subunit ribosomal RNA", at positions 911 to 1503 of the family's 2925-position model. RNAcentral also lists the same sequence under 1 other name. The record is from RNAcentral. Lineage: Bacteria; Pseudomonadati; Pseudomonadota; Gammaproteobacteria; Enterobacterales; Enterobacteriaceae.